CAUAGUACGUGAACCGCACAGAGAUAAAGCGGAGGACCAUUGUGGCUUGCUAAGAUGGGUAAUGAUUCACUNCACGCCGGGCACCUGCAGGCUGCUUUUUGGGAUGCACCUGGCGCGCGCGGUCGCGCCGCAAGGCGCGUUCCGUGUCGGUCCGGACGCCCCCGCGGUCCAGGUAUAAGUCCUUGGUGUGGCGAGGUGCACUUCUCCUCCGAACGGGAAACUUUAGGGAGUAGGGUUGAAGGUCGGCGGGAACCCGUUCCGUGCCUGGCCGGAGCCCGACGGUAGAUUUUGGCGGAGAUGGCCCGCUCCUCUGCGAGUGAGCGUCCGGGCCGAGGGCAAGCUCUUCGGGUUAGCUAUCGGUGUGGCCGUGGCGAACGCCACGCCCCCGACCCUCGUCGGCUGUUGGUCCUCGGAUUUCCUCGGACGGUAGCCGUCUCCCGUCAGCGGCGCUUAAAGCUUCGGUCUCUUUCCCGACCCGUCUUGAAACACGGCAA
This 494-nucleotide ribosomal RNA is filed under the name Hemithyrsocera alagara. RNAcentral's name for it is "partial 28S ribosomal RNA". The record is from RNAcentral. Lineage: Eukaryota; Metazoa; Arthropoda; Insecta; Blattodea; Blattellidae.